GGACUACCCGGGUUUCUAAUCCUGUUUGCUCCCCACGCUUUCGCGCAUCAGCGUCAGAACCGGUCCAGGUAGCCGCCUUCGCCACCGGUGUUCCUCCCAAUAUCUACGCAUUUCACCGCUACACUGGGAAUUCCGCUACCCCCUCCCGGCCUCGAGCCAGACAGUUUCAAAGGCAAUUCCUCAGUUGAGCCGAGGGAUUUCACCUUUGACUUAUCAAGCCGCCUACGCGCCCUUUACGCCCAAUAAUUCCGAAUAACGCUCGCCCCCUCCGUAUUACCGCGGCGGCUGGCAC
This 292-nucleotide ribosomal RNA is filed under the name uncultured Acidobacteriota bacterium. Its description in RNAcentral is "uncultured Acidobacteria bacterium partial 16S ribosomal RNA". The record is from RNAcentral. Lineage: Bacteria; Pseudomonadati; Acidobacteriota.